This 500-nucleotide ribosomal RNA is filed under the name Lepas australis. RNAcentral's name for it is "partial 16S ribosomal RNA". It matches the Rfam family "Bacterial large subunit ribosomal RNA", at positions 1833 to 2597 of the family's 2925-position model. The record is from RNAcentral. Lineage: Eukaryota; Metazoa; Arthropoda; Thecostraca; Lepadidae.
UUCUUCCUAUAUAAGGAGGUAAGGCCUGCUCACUGAAUUUUGAAGAGCCGCAGUAUCCUGACUGUGCUAAGGUAGCAUAAUAAUUUGUCUCUUAAUUGGGGACUAGAAUGAAUGGUCUAACGAGAAAUUAACUUUUUUAGGAAUAAUAAUUAAACUUAAUUUUUUAGUGAAAAAGCUAAAAUAAGAUAAAAAGACGAGAAGACCCUAUAGAGUUUUAUAUAUAAACUAUUUACAUUUUAAUAACUUUUUAGAAUUGUAAAUAAAGACUAUAUUUUGUUGGGGCGACAUUUAGAUAAAAAAAACUUUUUAUAUUAAAAACUCAAAUUUGAGUAUUUACUGAUCCUUAAAAAAGAUUAAAAGUAUAAAUUACCUUAGGGAUAACAGCGUAAUCUCCCUUGAGAGCUCAAAUCGACAGGGAGGUUUGCGACCUCGAUGUUGGACUAAAAUUAAACUAAGGUGCAGAAGUCUUAGAUUUAGGUCUGUUCGACCUAUAGAUUUUU